Molecule: transfer RNA, 71 nt
Filed under: Marmota monax (woodchuck)
Lineage: Eukaryota; Metazoa; Chordata; Mammalia; Rodentia; Sciuridae
Description: tRNA.Ala
Source: RNAcentral
GAGGUUGUGGCUCAGUGGUAGAGCUCUCCACUGGCAUGUGUGAGACACUGAGUUUGAUUCUCAACACCACA